UACGGAGGGUGCGAGCGUUGUCCGGAAUCACUGGGCGUAAAGGGCGCGUAGGCGGCUUGAUAAGUAGGAGGUGAAAUCCUGCGGCUUAACCGCAGGGCUGCCUUUGAUACUGUCGAUCUGGAGUAUGGAAGAGGUGAGUGGAAUUCCGAGUGUAGAGGUGAAAUUCGUAGAUAUUCGGAGGAACACCAGUGGCGAAGGCGGCUCACUGGUCCAUUACUGACGCUGAGGUGCGAAAGCGUGGGGAGCAAACAGG
This 253-nucleotide ribosomal RNA is filed under the name uncultured bacterium. RNAcentral's name for it is "partial 16S ribosomal RNA". It matches the Rfam family "Bacterial small subunit ribosomal RNA", at positions 524 to 776 of the family's 1533-position model. The record is from RNAcentral.